RNAcentral lists this transfer RNA (65 nucleotides) under Clostridium mediterraneense. It matches the Rfam family "tRNA", at positions 5 to 66 of the family's 71-position model. From Rfam's summary of the family: Transfer RNA (tRNA) molecules are approximately 80 nucleotides in length. Their secondary structure includes four short double-helical elements and three loops (D, anti-codon, and T loops). The record is from RNAcentral. Lineage: Bacteria; Bacillati; Bacillota; Clostridia; Eubacteriales; Clostridiaceae.
ACGUGGCUCAGUCGGUAGAGCGUCGCCUUGGUAAGGCGGAGGUCGCCGGUUCAAGUCCGGUCGUG